UGGCUCAGUGGUAGAGCAUUUGCCUUGCAUGCAUAAGGCCCUGGGUUUGAUUCCUCG
RNAcentral lists this transfer RNA (57 nucleotides) under Dipodomys ordii (Ord's kangaroo rat). It matches the Rfam family "tRNA", at positions 8 to 63 of the family's 71-position model. Rfam says of the family: Transfer RNA (tRNA) molecules are approximately 80 nucleotides in length. Their secondary structure includes four short double-helical elements and three loops (D, anti-codon, and T loops). Lineage: Eukaryota; Metazoa; Chordata; Mammalia; Rodentia; Heteromyidae. The record is from Rfam by way of RNAcentral.